UGGCUAGAAAGCUUUGUUGAUUUACCGGUGAUGAAAGGAUAUUUGUGCCAAGGUAGCUUAUAGAGUAUGGUGGAUCCGGAAACACAGGGACAAGAAGUUUCUCGUUGUCCAGAGAAGGUGCAAAGGAGCGCAAGGAUGGGACGCGUGGAAGGACACGUGCAGCGUACUGGAGGAUUCUACAACCAGUUGAAGUAGAAAGCGGAAACCAUUCUCAAUUCUUCUCUUAU
RNAcentral lists this unclassified non-coding RNA (227 nucleotides) under Hevea brasiliensis (rubber tree). Lineage: Eukaryota; Viridiplantae; Streptophyta; Magnoliopsida; Malpighiales; Euphorbiaceae. The record is from RNAcentral.